GACGAACGCUGGCGGCGUGCCUAAUACAUGCAAGUUGAGCGCUGAAGGUUGGUACUUGUACCAACUGGAUGAGCAGCGAACGGGUGAGUAACGCGUGGGGAAUCUGCCUUUGAGCGGGGACAACAUUUGGAAACGAAUGCUAAUACCGCAUAAAAACUUUAAACACAAGUUUUAAGUUUGAAAGAUGCAAUUGCGUCACUCAAAGAUGAUCCCGCGUUGUAUUAGCUAGUUGGUGAGGUAAAGGCUCACCAAGGCGAUGAUACAUAGCCGACCUGAGAGGGUGAUCGGCCACAUUGGGACUGAGACACGGCCCAAACUCCUACGGGAGGCAGCAGUAGGGAAUCUUCGGCAAUGGACGAAAGUCUGACCGAGCAACGCCGCGUGAGUGAAGAAGGUUUUCGGAUCGUAAAACUCUGUUGGUAGAGAAGAACGUUGGUGAGAGUGGAAAGCUCAUCAAGUGACGGUAACUACCCAGAAAGGGACGGCUAACUACGUG
Molecule: ribosomal RNA, 496 nt
Filed under: uncultured bacterium
Lineage: Bacteria
Description: partial 16S ribosomal RNA
Rfam family: Bacterial small subunit ribosomal RNA
Source: RNAcentral